RNAcentral lists this ribosomal RNA (468 nucleotides) under uncultured bacterium. RNAcentral describes it as "partial 16S ribosomal RNA". It matches the Rfam family "Bacterial small subunit ribosomal RNA", at positions 28 to 507 of the family's 1533-position model. The record is from RNAcentral.
GACGAACGCUGGCGGCGUGCUUAACGCAUGCAAGUCGAACGGAAAGGCCCUGCUUUUGUGGGGUGCUCGAGUGGCGAACGGGUGAGUAACACGUGAGUAACCUGCCCUUGACUUUGGGAUAACUUCAGGAAACUGGGGCUAAUACCGGAUAGGAGCUCCUGCUGCAUGGUGGGGGUUGGAAAGUUUCGGCGGUUGGGGAUGGACCCGCGGCUUAUCAGCUUGUUGGUGGGGUAGUGGCUUACCAAGGCUUUGACGGGUAGCCGGCCUGAGAGGGUGACCGGCCACAUUGGGACUGAGAUACGGCCCAGACUCCUACGGGAGGCAGCAGUGGGGAAUAUUGCACAAUGGGCGGAAGCCUGAUGCAGCAACGCCGCGUGCGGGAUGACGGCCUUCGGGUUGUAAACCGCUUUCGCCUGUGACGAAGCGUGAGUGACGGUAAUGGGUAAAGAAGCACCGGCUAACUACGUG